AGUGAACGCUGGCGGCAGGCCUAACACAUGCAAGUCGAGCGGCAGCGCGGGGGGCGAACCCUGGCGGCGAGCGGCGGACGGGUGAGGAAUUCGUCGGAAUCUGCCUUUUUGUGGGGGAUAACGUAGGGAAACUUACGCUAAUACCGCAUACGAUCUAAGGAUGAAAGCGGGGGAUCGCAAGACCUCGCGCGAUUGGAGCGGCCGAUAUCAGAUUAGGUAGUUGGUGGGGUAAAGGCUCACCAAGCCAACGAUCAGUAGCCGGACUGAGAGGUUGAACGGCCACAUUGGGACUGAGACACGGCCCCAGACUCCUACGGGAGGCAGCAGUGGGGAAUAUUGCACAAUUGGGGCGAAAGCCUGAUGCAGCGAUGCCGCGUGAGGGAAGAAGGUCUUCGGAUUGUAACCUCUGUUUUCAGGGACGAUAAUGACGGUACCUGAGAGGAAGCUCCGGCUAACUACGUGCCAGCA
Molecule: ribosomal RNA, 468 nt
Filed under: uncultured bacterium
Lineage: Bacteria
Description: bacterial SSU rRNA
Rfam family: Bacterial small subunit ribosomal RNA
Source: RNAcentral